This 484-nucleotide ribosomal RNA is filed under the name uncultured bacterium. Its description in RNAcentral is "partial 16S ribosomal RNA". It matches the Rfam family "Bacterial small subunit ribosomal RNA", at positions 30 to 507 of the family's 1533-position model. The record is from RNAcentral.
AUUGAACGCUGGCGGCAGGCCUAACACAUGCAAGUCGAGCGGAUGAAGGGAGCUUGCUCCUGGAUUCAGCGGCGGACGGGUGAGUAAUGCCUAGGAAUCUGCCUGGUAGUGGGUGAUAACGUCCGGAAACGGGCGCUAAUACCGCAUACGUGCUGAGGGAGAAAGUGGGGGAUCUUCGGACCUCACGCUCUCAGAUGAGCCUAGGUCGGAUUAGCUAGUUGGUGGGGUAAAGGCCUACCAAGGCGACGAUCCGUAACUGGUCUGAGAGGAUGAUCAGUCACACUGGAACUGAGACACGGUCCAGACUCCUACGGGAGGCAGCAGUGGGGAAUAUUGGACAAUGGGCGAAAGCCUGAUCCAGCCAUGCCGCGUGUGUGAAGAAGGUCUUCGGAUUGUAAAGCACUUUAAGUUGGGAGGAAGGGCAGUAAGUUAAUACCUUGCUGUUUUGACGUUACCAACAGAAUAAGCACCGGCUAACUUCGUG